AGCAGCCGCGGUAAUUCCAGCUCCAAUAGCGUAUAUUAAAGUUGUUGCAGUUAAAAAGCUCGUAGUUGAAUUUCGGGGUUAGUAAGUUGGUCAUGCCUUCGGUAUGUACUGGCUUUACUGAUUCCUCCUUCUUGACGAACCGUGAUGUCAUUAAUUUGGUGUUGCGGGAAAUCAGGACUGUUACUUUGAAAAAAUUAGAGUGUUUAAAGCAGGCUAACGCUUGAAUACAUUAGCAUGGAAUAAUGAAAUAGGACGUUAAUCCUAUUUUGUUGGUUUCUAGGAUCGACGUAAUGAUUAAUAGGGGUAGUUGGGGGCAUUAGUAUUCAAUUGUCAGAGGUGAAAUUCUUGGAUUUAUUGAAGACUAACUACUGCGAAAGCAUUUGCCAAGGAUGUUUUCAUUUAAUCAAGAACGAAAGUUAAGGGGAUCGAAGACGAUCAGAUACCGUCGUAGCCUUAACCAUAAACUAUGCCGACUAGGGAUCGGAUGAUGUUAAUUUUUAAUUGUACUCAUUCGGCGCCU
Molecule: ribosomal RNA, 520 nt
Filed under: uncultured Glomus
Lineage: Eukaryota; Fungi; Glomeromycota; Glomeromycetes; Glomerales; Glomeraceae
Description: SSU rRNA
Rfam family: Eukaryotic small subunit ribosomal RNA
Source: RNAcentral